This is a long non-coding RNA of Tympanuchus pallidicinctus (lesser prairie-chicken), 406 nucleotides long. RefSeq lists it as uncharacterized. The transcript has 3 exons. The record is from RefSeq and is a predicted model, not a curated record. Lineage: Eukaryota; Metazoa; Chordata; Aves; Galliformes; Phasianidae.
CACGCAAAGAGCAGCUUACCUGCAGGACCAGGGCUGCCAACUUGAAGACCGUCUCGCUUUCGACUUCGAUCUGCCCCUGUGCAGGGAAAGAGCAGAAGGCAGGUACCUGAUCCCGCACGCUUCCAAACACAAUUACAAACUUGCCAUGAACCAGGGAAAGGAGGGUGAACCAGAGGAAUUUAUGGCUUUAAGCAUGCCAUUUCCCUGGGGCAGAGACCUCAGCUCUUUGCUUUGAUGGUGCCUGGAGAUCUCACAGUUCCUGCAAGUACACAUGCAAUGCUCAAAGAGACUCCAUGGACUUCUAUCCUCCAAAUCUCCAUUCUUGACCCCCCUCCAAUAUCAGGCAGAGUCCUGUCCUGAAAGUCAGUGACUUCAAAGCUGCAUUUGACAAUAAAUGCUAAAAAUC